Long non-coding RNA from Acomys russatus (golden spiny mouse), 374 nucleotides. RefSeq lists it as uncharacterized. Lineage: Eukaryota; Metazoa; Chordata; Mammalia; Rodentia; Muridae. The record is from RefSeq and is a predicted model, not a curated record. The transcript has 4 exons.
GGGCGGGCUGUGGAUAAACAGCUUCCGGUUCCGGUGGACUCAACCCUCUCCUACGCUACGUGUCUCUUCUCUCUCAAGCUGCCAUCCCACAAACAGUCAUGGAUCAGGUAAUGCAAUUUGUUGAGCCAAGUCGACAGUUUGUAAAGGACUCAAUUCGGCUGGUUAAAAGAUGCACCAAACCCGAUAGAAAAGAAUUCCAGAAGAUUGCCAUGGCCACAGCAAUAGGAUUUGCUAUCAUGGGAUUCAUUGGCUUCUUUGUGAAACUGAUCCACAUCCCCAUCAAUAACAUUAUUGUGGGUGGCUGAGUCUCAUCGUGGGAACUAGUGAACAAAUGAGGGUGUGACAAGCUCAUGAAGUAAAGAGUUGCCUGCAUA